UUUUUUUACCUUUGCAAAACACAUCAUCAAUAAAAAGUAUUCUCUAGUAAUCGUAUUUAUUUUUUAUUUAUUUUACAGGUUAUUCAUCCAGCAGACGUUCGACUCCAAUUCCAGGUACGCAGUGCCAACAAAAAAGGUUGUGCUGAAAGCUGAAGUAUGGACUGGUUUCAAGGACAAUGACAACCACACAAGAUCCCAUUCACCGCCACCAAAGAAUAAAAUCCAGAUGUGGAUACAAUUUUGCUAGAUUUUAUGCGCAAGGUAAUAAAAACCUGGACUAUUGAGCAAACGGUACAGGAGGAGAAUUGCGAGGAAGAAAGUACAAGUGUCGCAGCCCCAUUUGUUCAUGCAUUUCUUUCUAAUGUAAAUUGUGUACACUGUUAUACUUGUAAAUAAAGUUUUCUGUCAAAAGUA
Phycodurus eques (leafy seadragon) is the source of this 414-nucleotide long non-coding RNA. RefSeq lists it as uncharacterized. The transcript has 2 exons. NCBI's taxonomy places the organism in Eukaryota, Metazoa, Chordata, Actinopteri, Syngnathiformes, Syngnathidae. The record is from RefSeq and is a predicted model, not a curated record.